GCGUCACCUCCGCCCCCUCCCCUCUUCCUGUGUCCCCUCUCCGUAUCCCGUCCCUUUUUCCCUUUUCUGACUGCAAAGUGGGCCUCUUUAACCUGUUUCUGGGCCCCGUGGGGAAGAAUGAGAAGCAGAGUAGGAGGCGAGGGAGCAAGGAGCGAAGGAAGGUCCUCCCUGCAGAUUGUCUGCAAUCAGGCCACACUUUGGUUGGAGCAGGUGCACGGAUGAAUUUGUCUCUUUCAAGUAAACAGGUGUUUAAUAACGGUUUCACAUUUAUAUUUAGUAUGUUGUCAUCACUGCUAAGAGUAGAGACCUCCCUGGCCAGCAAGAGGACCGACCACCCAGGAUGACCCACCUUCCAGGGGCUCGGCCCUGGGUGCCCUGUGGGAGAGCUGGGGCCAGGCAGGCUUCUACUGGGGUCUUGCAAGGAGGGGUUGGGGAGGGUGUGUGCCUGGCCUCUGCCCUCACCUCCCUCUUCUCCCAGCCUGUCUUAGCUAAGUUCCUCCAGCUCAGAGGUUACUGUGUAGGUUUAGCCUCUCCGACUUCUUCCUGUUGUUUAGUCACUCGUUACCUUGUGCACCAAGAGGAAGGCGUCCUGGAGCUGCAUCCUUCCUGCGUGGGCCAUGGGGGCGUGAGUGCGAGGAGUGGUUAUUUAUUUUUGGCUGUUCCUGGAGGCAUGCAGGAUCUUAGUUCCCUGACCAGGGAUUGAACCCGUGCCCCCUGCAUUGGGAGCUUGGAGUCUUAACCACUGGACUGCCAGGGAAGUACCCCCUUCCUCAUUUUUUAAAAAAAAUAUUUGUUUAUUUAUUUGGUUGAGCAGGGUCUUAGUUGCAGCUUGCCAGCUCCUUAGUUGUGGCAUGCGAACUCUUAGUUGCAGCAUACAUGUGGGAUCUAGUUCCCUGACCAGGGAUUGAACCUGGGCCCCCUGCAUUGGGAGCGUGGAGUCCUAACCACUGUGCCACCAGGGAAGCUGCUUCCUCAUUUGUUAAUAACAUUUUUUCUGUAGGAAAACACUUCUUCUUCCACAUUUAUUUAUUUGAAUAUUUAUAUGAGUAUGGGCUGAGAUCUUUUGCUCUAUGGGAGAUUAGCCAAUACUGUCAUUAUUAAUUAAUGGCACACUCAUUAUAUUAAUAAGUAAAGAUUACUUUUUCCUCAAAUCAUUCCAGCUCUGGCCAUUAGGAGCCCUUGAUAUCAGACUCCUUGAUAUUUACUCCGUGAAGUCCUCAAGGAUGUCCUUCUUUCCAACAUCCUGUUUGCAGCUGGAGAUGUGGGGUCAGUUUGCAAGGAAAAAGAAGUCGUUCAGACGGCUGGUCCCUGGAGAGGCGAUUUACUGCAUAAAUGGCGAAAUCGAAGGAUGAACACUGAUGGUGGCAGUGGUGGGCAGCUGAUAAAAAGGGCCCUUUCUGGGGCUUCCCUGGUGGCGCAGUGGUUGAGAGUCCGCCUGCCGAUGCAGGGGACACGGGUUCGUGCCCCGGUCUGGGAAGAUCCCACAUGCCGCAGAGUGGCUGGGCCCCUGAGCCAUGGCCGCUGAGCCUGCGCAUCCGGGGCCUGUGCUCCGCAACAGGAGAGGCCACAACAGUGAGAGGCCCGCGUACCACAAAAAAAAAAAAAAAAAAAAAAAAAAAAAAGGGCCCUUUCUGUGUGCACGUGGGCAUAUGUUACACCCAUUCCCAGUGGAGCUCCAGGGGCUAAAAAUAAUCACGUGUUUUCUGUUUUAUCCAGAAAAGAGGAAAUGUGCAGUGUUAUUUCGUAACAUUUACUAUUUUGGAAAACUUGAAUUUUGUCCGCAUGUAUUUUUAAAAUGUCUUUGGAGCUGUCCUUGGAGGAAAAGACAUGAUGCAGAUUUCACCAAAGGUCCGUCUGCUUUGUUGUCCACAUCUUCAGGAAACAGCUCCAUGGAGAAGGGGAACCAUCCCUCAACACACAUGGCCAAGGGAUGGACGUGCAAACAACCCCCCAGAUCAGGUCAUGGGGGUCAUAGGAGGAAAGCCAGCUCUCAAGGGGCCCUGGGACCUCUCAGCCCAGGCCAGAGGGGAGAAGGGACCUGCCCAGGGUCCCUUGGCAUGGCCUGUUCUGCGUACAAGGGGAGGCGUGCUGCCCCACGGCCACCGGCUGCCUGCAAGAGAGCCAGGCUUCAUGGUCCAGGCUCAGCAUCGGACCUUCCCCUGACCCCCCUUGGGCUUUGUGUGGCCUUUGUUUCUUGAGGCUUGUUUGCUCCUAUGUGAGCCAGUACCGCUGAGACACUGUCCCGGUUGUUUUU
This is a long non-coding RNA of Lagenorhynchus albirostris (white-beaked dolphin), 2254 nucleotides long. RefSeq lists it as uncharacterized. The transcript has 3 exons. Lineage: Eukaryota; Metazoa; Chordata; Mammalia; Artiodactyla; Delphinidae. The record is from RefSeq and is a predicted model, not a curated record.